UGGGGAAUAUUGGACAAUGGGCGAAAGCCUGAUCCAGCCAUGCCGCGUGUGUGAAGAAGGUCUUCGGAUUGUAAAGCACUUUUAGUUGGGAGGAAGGGCAUUAACCUAAUACGUUAGUGUUUUGACGUUACCGACAGAAUAAGCACCGGCUAACUCUGUGCCAGCAGCCGCGGUAAUACAGAGGGUGCAAGCGUUAAUCGGAAUUACUGGGCGUAAAGCGCGCGUAGGUGGUUUGUUAAGUUGGAUGUGAAAUCCCCGGGCUCAACCUGGGAACUGCAUUCAAAACUGACUGACUAGAGUAUGGUAGAGGGUGGUGGAAUUUCCUGUGUAGCGGUGAAAUGCGUAGAUAUAGGAAGGAACACCAGUGGCGAAGGCGACCACCUGGACUAAUACUGACACUGAGGUGCGAAAGCGUGGGGAGCAAACA
This 427-nucleotide ribosomal RNA is filed under the name uncultured bacterium. RNAcentral's name for it is "partial 16S ribosomal RNA". It matches the Rfam family "Bacterial small subunit ribosomal RNA", at positions 355 to 774 of the family's 1533-position model. The record is from RNAcentral.